AAGUAUUACACCUCUUCUAGAAUUUGUCUGGCAGGCUUUCUGGUUUUCACCACACAAAAAACGAGGAAACGUCUUA
This 76-nucleotide small nuclear RNA is filed under the name Carlito syrichta (Philippine tarsier). Its description in RNAcentral is "U7 small nuclear RNA (ENSTSYG00000024493.2)". Lineage: Eukaryota; Metazoa; Chordata; Mammalia; Primates; Tarsiidae. The record is from RNAcentral.